This 285-nucleotide ribosomal RNA is filed under the name uncultured Turicibacter sp. Its description in RNAcentral is "partial 16S ribosomal RNA". It matches the Rfam family "Bacterial small subunit ribosomal RNA", at positions 998 to 1283 of the family's 1533-position model. Lineage: Bacteria; Bacillati; Bacillota; Erysipelotrichia; Erysipelotrichales; Turicibacteraceae. The record is from RNAcentral.
UCCUAGAGAUAGGAUUUUCCCUUCGGGGACAAUGGAUACAGGUGGUGCAUGGUUGUCGUCAGCUCGUGUCGUGAGAUGUUGGGUUAAGUCCCGCAACGAGCGCAACCCCUGUCGUUAGUUGCCAGCAUUCAGUUGGGGACUCUAACGAGACUGCCAGUGACAAACUGGAGGAAGGUGGGGAUGACGUCAAAUCAUCAUGCCCCUUAUGACCUGGGCUACACACGUGCUACAAUGGUUGGUACAAAGAGAAGCGAAGCGGUGACGUGGAGCAAACCUCAUAAAGCC